Molecule: ribosomal RNA, 17 nt
Filed under: Trichosporon asahii
Lineage: Eukaryota; Fungi; Basidiomycota; Tremellomycetes; Trichosporonales; Trichosporonaceae
Description: partial 26S ribosomal RNA
Source: RNAcentral
CCUUUGCAGACGACUUG